Molecule: transfer RNA, 68 nt
Filed under: Deroplatys desiccata
Lineage: Eukaryota; Metazoa; Arthropoda; Insecta; Mantodea; Mantidae
Description: tRNA-Asp
Source: RNAcentral
AAAAAAUUAGUUAAAUUACAUAACAUUAGUAUGUCACACUAAAAUUAUUAAGUUUCUAAUAUUUUUUU